UACGUAGGUGGCGAGCGUUGUCCGGAUUUACUGGGCGUAAAGAGCGCGCAGGCGGUCGAUCAAGUCGAGUGUGAAAGCCCCCGGCUCAACUGGGGAGGGUCAUUCGAUACUGGUCGACUCGAAGGCAGGAGAGGGUAGUGGAAUUCCCGGUGUAGUGGUGAAAUGCGUAGAUAUCGGGAGGAACACCAGUGGCGAAGGCGGCUACCUGGCCUGUUCUUGACGCUGAGGCGCGAAAGCUAGGGGAGCAAACGGG
This 253-nucleotide ribosomal RNA is filed under the name uncultured bacterium. Its description in RNAcentral is "partial 16S ribosomal RNA". It matches the Rfam family "Bacterial small subunit ribosomal RNA", at positions 524 to 776 of the family's 1533-position model. The record is from RNAcentral.